Leopardus geoffroyi (Geoffroy's cat) is the source of this 768-nucleotide long non-coding RNA. RefSeq lists it as uncharacterized. NCBI's taxonomy places the organism in Eukaryota, Metazoa, Chordata, Mammalia, Carnivora, Felidae. The record is from RefSeq and is a predicted model, not a curated record. The transcript is spliced from 2 exons.
UAGUUGAGCAUUAAUAGGAUAGCAUAUCAAUAUAGUAAACCUCUAUUCAUUUACCUUGAUUUAGGUGUUAAUUUGCUCAGUUUCUUCCUGUAGUCAGUUCAUUUUAUACAGUGAAAGAAAUCUAAAUGAGACAAAAAUCAAGGCAUUUUACUCCCUAACAGAUGUUGCAAAACAAAUUUUAUCUACUUUGUCUUCCCUCAUAAUUGUUUCACCGACUUUUGUACUUCAGGGGAAGUGGGGAAAACAUCAUUGCAGUCAUCUCCAUAUCAUGAACCUCUGAGAAAAAAAUCACAGAACACAUAGGAACUCCCUACAUUUUAGUAGCUGUCACUUGUAUAAGAAUUUUAGUAAUUGAUUUAAUAUUUUCUUGGCCUGAAUAAUGCAACUGAAAUUCCAUGCCACCACCCCAUCCUCAUUCUCUUGGUUGCUCGGCAACAUAGAACAAAGCAGAGACCCAACCGAACAAAAAAGCAGGUUUAACUGUCACAGAAAUGAAACGUUUUCUUUCAGAUCAGAGGAAACGCCAGAAGUUAUCUGUUGAUAUAUAUAUCUAAUAUGUGUAGACAACAUUUCACAGAUGUUGUCACAACUCUGUGCUGAAGAAAUUAAGUGCAUCCUGUGUAACUCCACUGGUAGACUCUUGGAAGCAUAUGCAUGGUUUCCUACAGACUUCAUACUGAGAGAGCCUUUUCCUGGACUGAUUUUGUUUUGAGUCCUUCUGCUGUAAUAUAUAACCGUCAUAAAUACAACAACUUCUGCAUCCUGUGA